This is a long non-coding RNA of Oncorhynchus tshawytscha (Chinook salmon), 1237 nucleotides long. Lineage: Eukaryota; Metazoa; Chordata; Actinopteri; Salmoniformes; Salmonidae. The record is from Ensembl.
CUCCUCUCUUUCCUCUCUGUCUGCCCCUAGUCUCCUCUGUUCCCUCUCAGUCUGCCCCUAGUCUCCUCUGUUCCCUCUCCGUCUGCCCCUAGUCUCCUCUGUUCCCUCUCCGUCUGCCCCUAGUCUCCUCUGUUCCCUCUCCGUCUGCCCCUAGUCUCCUCUGUUCCCUCUCUGUCUGCCCCUAGUCUCCUCUGUUCCUCUCUGUCUGCCCUAGUCUCCUCUGUUCCCUCUCCGUCUGCCCCUAGUCUCCUCUGUCCCCUCUCCGUCUGCCCCUAUCUCCUCUGUUCCCUCUCUGUCUGCCCCUAGUCUCCUCUGUUUCCUCUCUGUCUGCCCCUAGUCUCCUCUGUUCCCUCUCCGUCUGCCCCUAGUCUCCUCUGUUCCCUCUCCGUCUGCCCCUAGUCUCCUCUGUUCCCUCUCCGUCUCCCCUAGUCUCCUCUGUUCCCUCUCCGUCUGCCCCUAGUCUCCUCUGUUCCCUCUCCGUCUGCCCCUAGUCUCCUCUGUUCCCUCUCCGUCUGCCCCUAGUCUCCUCUGUUCCCUCUCCGUCUGCCCCUAGUCUCCUCUGUUCCCUCUCUGGCUGCCCCUAGUCUCCUCUGUUCCCUCUCCGUCUGUCCCUAGUCUCCUCUGUUCCCUCUCCAUCUGCCCCUAGUCUCCUCUGUUCCCUCUCCGUCUGCCCCUAGUCUCCUCUGUUCCCUCUCUGGCUGCCCCUAGUCUCCUCUGUUCCCUCUCCGUCUGUCCCUAGUCUCCUCUGUUCCCUCUCCCCCUAGUCUCCUCUGUUCCCUCUCCGUCUGCCCCUAGUCUCCUCUGUUCACACUCCGUCUGUCCCUAGUCUCCUCUAUUCCCUCUCCGUCUGUCCCUAGUCUCCUCUGUUCCCUCUCCCCCUAGUCUCAUCUGUUCCCUCUCCCCCUAGUCUCCUCUGUUCCCUCUCCGUCUGCCCCUAGUCUCCUCUGUUCCCUCUCCGUCUGCCCCUAGUCUCCUCUGUUUCCUCUCUGUCUGCCCCUAGUCUCCUCUGUUCCCUCUCUGCCCCUAGUCUCCUCUGUUCCCUCUCCGUCUGCCCCUAGUCUCCUCUGUUCCCUCUCCGUCUGCCCCUAGUCUCCUCUGUUUCCUCUCCGUCUGCCCCUAGUCUCCUCUGUUUCCUCUCCGUCUGCCCCUAGUCUCCUCUGUUUCCUCUCUGUCUGCCCCUAGUCUCCUCUGUUUCCUCUCUGUCUGCCCCUAGUCUCCUCUGUUCCCUCUCCGUCUG